This 253-nucleotide ribosomal RNA is filed under the name uncultured bacterium. RNAcentral's name for it is "partial 16S ribosomal RNA". It matches the Rfam family "Bacterial small subunit ribosomal RNA", at positions 524 to 776 of the family's 1533-position model. The record is from RNAcentral.
UACGUAGGGGGCUAGCGUUGUCCGGAAUCAUUGGGCGUAAAGAGCGCGUAGGCGGCUGGAAUAGUCCGGUGUGAAAUCCACAGGCUUAACCUGUGAAUGCCGCUGGAAACUGUCUGGCUAGAGUCCGGAAGAGGAGACUGGAAUUCCUGGUGUAGCGGUGGAAUGCGCAGAUAUCAGGAGGAACACCGGUGGCGAAGGCGAGUCGCUGGGCAGUAACUGACGCUGAGGAGCGAAAGCGUGGGGAGCGAACAGG